CAGCCCUACGGGACGCAGCAGUGAGGAAUAUUGGUCAAUGGCCGAGAGGCUGAACCAGCCAAGUCGCGUGAGGGAUGACGGCCCUACGGGUUGUAAACCUCUUUUGCCGGGGAGCAAAGAGCGGAACGCGUCCCGCCUCGAGAGUACCCGGAGAAAAAGCAUCGGCUAACUCCGUGCCAGCAGCCGCGGUAAUACGGAGGAUGCGAGCGUUAUCCGGAUUUAUUGGGUUUAAAGGGUGCGCAAGCGGAAGCGCAAGGCCGCGGCAAAAUUGAGA
This 274-nucleotide ribosomal RNA is filed under the name uncultured bacterium. RNAcentral's name for it is "partial 16S ribosomal RNA". It matches the Rfam family "Bacterial small subunit ribosomal RNA", at positions 334 to 605 of the family's 1533-position model. The record is from RNAcentral.